Molecule: ribosomal RNA, 497 nt
Filed under: uncultured bacterium
Lineage: Bacteria
Description: partial 16S ribosomal RNA
Rfam family: Bacterial small subunit ribosomal RNA
Source: RNAcentral
GAUGAACGCUGGCGGCGUGCCUAAUACAUGCAAGUCGAGCGAACAGACGAGGAGCUUGCUCCUCUGACGUUAGCGGCGGACGGGUGAGUAACACGUGGAUAACCUACCUAUAAGACUGGGAUAACUUCGGGAAACCGGAGCUAAUACCGGAUAAUAUAUUGAACCGCAUGGUUCAAUAGUGAAAGACGGUUUUGCUGUCACUUAUAGAUGGAUCCGCGCCGCAUUAGCUAGCUGGUAAGGUAACGGCUUACCAAGGCGACGAUGCGUAGCCGACCUGAGAGGGUGAUCGGCCACACUGGAACUGAGACACGGUCCAGACUCCUACGGGAGGCAGCAGUAGGGAAUCUUCCGCAAUGGGCGAAAGCCUGACGGAGCAACGCCGCGUGAGUGAUGAAGGUCUUCGGAUCGUAAAACUCUGUUAUUAGGGAAGAACAAAUGUGUAAGUAACUAUGCACGUCUUGACGGUACCUAAUCAGAAAGCCACAGCUAACUACGUG